AAUGUUUUCAACUAUCAUUUUCAAACAUGUUAACCAGGCAGGGUUAACCUUACAGUAGUAACCUUACUCAACACUGAUUACUGUUAGACUUUCGAAAUCCUUCAUCACUUGAAUUAAGAUUAUAAUAUUUUAAUUUUAAUGGAGACAUUGGAUGCCAAAUAUCUUCAUUUGCAUAUAAAUGUGUCUUGGCAGUGUGUGGACACAACCACCCUACAAUGAUAAAAAUUCACUCCUUUUUUUUUAAUCCCCAAAAACCUAAACAGUCUCAAUUAUCAAGCCAUUUUGAUUUUGUAUUAAAUACCCAGCGCUCUCUUCCACCUUCAAUACUACGACUGAGGUGAGACCCUUGAGCAAGACACCGAACCCCCAACUGCUCCCCGGGCGCCGCAGCAUUGGCUGCCCACUGCUCUGGGUGUGUGUUCACUACUGUGUGUGUGUGCACUUGGAUGGGUUAAAUGCAGAGCACAAAUUCCGAGUAUGGGUCACCAUACUUGGCCACACGUCACUUCACUUUCACUAAAUUCGUUUAUGUCUGGCUGCGCAAAUAAUUUUACUCCAGACUCCAGGCAGGUUUUGUUAAAAAGUUAAAACUCAAAGAUGAAUCAGUACUCAUUUUUCAUGAUCCAGCUGCACCUCCAGAAGUAGUAAGUCUCACACUUUAUAUUUUUUAUGAUUAUUUGCGAAUCAGCUUUGCUCUUCCACAGAAGUGAGGGGUGGGGUGAGCAGAGCUCAUUAGCAUGUAAAGAGAUAUGCAGCGAAACGAGUUGCUGUGAACAGAGCUGUUUUUGACAAGGUAAAAAGGGUGUUGUUUUUCAUGACCACUGAGACCAUUUCAAGAAUACCAACUUGUGGAAAAUGGGCAUCCGAUAUCCCCUUUGAAGCACAGCCAUCACAAAAUCAGACUUACUUUAAAAUCAUUCUGAUGUUAAAUACUGAUUUAAAAUCAUAACAAGAAAUAGUUUAAUUAUGAUAAUUAUGAUCAUAGUUUAGCUAUGAUACUGUUUUUUUAAAUAAAAUCUUUGCAUAGCUAUGACAGGAAACACUGGAAUCUAACAAUGCCUUAGAAAAAAAAAAACAGUUAAUCUUUAAAAAAAAAAAGCAUAUACAGUACUGUUACAUAUCACAGUCUUUUUUUUAUUAUUAUUGUAAUAGUUUAUUUUGAAUGUAAACUUUAUGCAGUAUGUGGAAAACGUCAUCAAUUGCUGACAGGAACUAGGAGGUCGAUGACGUAUAAAGGCUUCGUCAACGCAGUUGCGGCAGCAACAAACAGUACCUCGUGGAGCGAGAUAGAGAACCAGAGCCCCGGCGUGCAAACUGUGGCCGGAGUGUCUCGAGGCGUUGAGCGUGAUUCAUCUACGCGAUGACUAAUUGUGAUCGGUGAAGGCUUUUCAUCUUAUGUUUAAGUUAAGUUGUGUUGUGCAUUCUGACUAUCAUGUAUUCAAAUAGAUCGAUUCUAACUGACGUCGAUCUGCAUUUCAUCUGUUAUGCCUUUUCUCAUUACAGCUGUGUUGUGAGUCUUUCGUCUAGUGAUCUUUGUGGAUAACAGAGAAAGCGAUAGAUUAUGAUGUCAUGUGACAUACAUUGAACACAUGGUUCACAAGCAACAUGCCCGUGGACACUGUGGACUUUCAAGUCCGCAUGUGUACUGCACGUCGACGCGGACGACGACGCAGAAGUAUAAAUGAAAACCGACGCACAGCUUACAGCGUUGGUCCGACGCAGAAGUAUUGGGCUUCACUCCCAGUGCGCUGUGAGUCAUGGCAACAUAAUAGCCAGGUCGGAGCACCAGCCGUUCAUAUUGGUAUUACCAACUAAAGGAGCUAUACGACUGUGGUUGUGAGUGUUGUGUCAUCUAAAUAUAGGGGUCCCCGUAUGAGGCAGACUGAGUGUGAGCAGUCACUUUAACGCAGCUCUCUUCUACCCCCUCCCUUUGGGCCGUGCUGCUGCUUUGGGUCGUCACAUUCUUGUCCAAUUACUUAAGUGGGCUUGAUGUUCUGUUUUGUGUUUUUGUUGUAUUGGGAUAUAUAUCUUUUUGUUUAGUUGUUGUUGUUUGGAUUUUGCUGUUACUGUCACUAACGCCUCAGUCUUUGUAACAGUUUCUAUUAAUUAGAGUGAUUACCGCUAUGCGGUAUUAGUGAUCUCGGUCAUUCAUGAAGCCUUAUGAUCAGUACUGAGUAGUCAUCUUUGUGUUAUUGUGACAGUAUAAUUUAUUUGUGGUUUCAAUGUGUAUUUUGUUAGAUUUGUUUGUGUAACUGAUCUUUUGAUUCUUUUUCUCUUUUGUAUUUUGCAGGAGCUGAGUGUUUCUCAGAAGCAGGCUGGUUUUUGGGUUGCACCAAAUUCACUUUAACAAGGGGUUGUCGUUAUUGCUGUUAUUAUUUGCAGUGAAUUUUGUGGAUGUGAUUCUGAUUGAUUGGGAUAUAUUUUCCUCUUUUUGGGUGCAUUACCCUACUAGCCUGUCCAUCAUACAGGAAGCCUCAGCCCCUGCUACGAUCUUCAAUUAUUCUUUUUUUUUUUUCCUUUUUUUUUUUCCUUUAUUUGACCAAGACAAUUUAAUGGUGUUGCUGGUUGGUUUUAAAAUUACUGUUGCCUAAUACUUUUAGUUUUAAUAAAAUGAUUAUUUAAAUCGGACGGAAACUCAUGCCACUUGCCUUUUCUAUGUGGAACGUAUUUGUGUGUCUGAAUUCUUUGGUUAAUUCCCUGGUAUUUCAGGGUGGCGUAGUCCCUACAAAUGAGCCACAUGUUACAUUUGGAUAAUUAUUAUUAUUUUUUUUCACAGCA
Molecule: long non-coding RNA, 2778 nt
Organism: Onychostoma macrolepis
Lineage: Eukaryota; Metazoa; Chordata; Actinopteri; Cypriniformes; Cyprinidae
Exons: 4
Source: RefSeq, a predicted model, not a curated record